CAGGGGCGGCGUGCCUACACAUGCAAGUCGAACGGACUUAACCUGAAACCUAGUGAUGGUUAAGUUAGUGGCGGACGGGUGAGUAACGCGUGGACAACCUGCCGCAUGCAGGGGGAUAACAGUUGGAAACAGCUGCUAAUACCGCAUAAGCGCACGGUACCGCAUGGUACAGUGUGAAAAGAUUUAUCGGCAUGCGAUGGAUCCGCGUCCGAUUAGCCAGUUGGCGGGGUAACGGCCCACCAAAGCGACGAUCGGUAGCCGGCCUGAGAGGGCGGACGGCCACAUUGGGACUGAGACACGGCCCAAACUCCUACGGGAGGCAGCAGUGGGGAAUAUUGCACAAUGGGGGGAACCCUGAUGCAGCGACGCCGCGUGGGUGAAGAAGUCAUUCGUGACGUAAAGCCCUAUCAGCAGGGAAGAAAAUGACGGUACCUGACUAAGAAGCCCCGGCUAACUACGUGCCAGCAGCCGCGGUAAUACGUAGGGGGCAAGCGUUAUCCGGAUUUACUGGGUGUAAAGGGAGCGUAGACGGCGGCGCAAGUCCGGAGUGAAAGCCCACGGCCCAACCGUGGGACUGCUCUGGAAACUGUGCGGCUUGAGUGCGGGAGGGGCAGGCGGAAUUCCUAGUGUAGCGGUGAAAUGCGUAGAUAUUAGGAGGAACACCGGCGGCGAAGGCGGCCUGCUGGACCGUAACUGACGUUGAGGCUCGAAAGCGUGGGGAGCAAACAGGAUUAGAUACCCUGGUAGUCCACGCCGUANACGAUGAUUACUAGGUGUCGCGGUACGAAGUACUGCGGUGC
Molecule: ribosomal RNA, 800 nt
Filed under: uncultured bacterium
Lineage: Bacteria
Description: bacterial SSU rRNA
Rfam family: Bacterial small subunit ribosomal RNA
Source: RNAcentral